RNAcentral lists this ribosomal RNA (238 nucleotides) under uncultured bacterium. RNAcentral's name for it is "partial 16S ribosomal RNA". It matches the Rfam family "Bacterial small subunit ribosomal RNA", at positions 96 to 334 of the family's 1533-position model. The record is from RNAcentral.
CGGCGGACGGGUGAGUAACGCGUGGGUAACCUACCCUGUACACACGGAUAACAUACCGAAAGGUAUGCUAAUACGGGAUAAUAUAUUUGAGAGGCAUCUCUUAAAUAUCAAAGGUGAGCCAGUACAGGAUGGACCCGCGUCUGAUUAGCUAGUUGGUAAGGUAACGGCUUACCAAGGCGACGAUCAGUAGCCGACCUGAGAGGGUGAUCGGCCACACUGGGACUGAGACACGGCCCAG